This 379-nucleotide ribosomal RNA is filed under the name uncultured eukaryote. Its description in RNAcentral is "partial 18S ribosomal RNA". It matches the Rfam family "Eukaryotic small subunit ribosomal RNA", at positions 592 to 975 of the family's 1831-position model. The record is from RNAcentral.
CAAUAGCGUAUAUUAAAGUUGUUGCGGUUAAAAAGCUCGUAGUUGGAUUUCUGCUGAGAACGACCGGUCCGCCCUUUGGGUGUGUAUCUGGCUCUUUCUUGGCAUCUUCUUGGUGAACGUUGCUGCACUUGACUGCGUGGAGCGCUACCCAGGACUUUUACUUUGAGGAAAUUAGAGUGUUUCAAGCAGGCAUACGCCUUGAAUACAUUAGCAUGGAAUAAUAAGAUAGGACCUCGGUUCUAUUUUGUUGGUUUCUAGAGCUGAGGUAAUGAUUAAUAGGGAUAGUUGGGGGCAUUCGUAUUUAACUGUCAGAGGUGAAAUUCUUGGAUUUAUGAAAGAUGAACUUCUGCGAAAGCAUUUGCCAAGGAUGUUUUCAUUA